UGAGAAUAGCCUGCACAGAGAAGAUAAAGCAGUUCCUGGCAGGGAAGUGGAAGAGGGGGGCGUUAAAAUCAGAGUUUAAUGCUGAGCUUCAGAUAGAUCCUUCACUGGCAGAAUUAAUGUGCUGCUAUAUAUAGAAGCCUAGUGUUCCUAGGGGGAAACUUAAUGAUGCAAUGACGUCACUGCAGGUCAGCUCCAGACUGGUGGAAGUCAGUUGCAUGCAUCUGGCUGCAGAAUAUUAGCAGGAUUGGAAGGUACAAGCAGGGAAUCACAGUCUCUACACCAAGAAAAGGGCAGCUUUUCUAUGCAAUGCUUUGCAGUCACAUUCAGUUUAUUUACAGACUCUCUUCUACUAUCCCUAGAUUAGUCAUAUAGCUCAUAUAAUUGGAUACAAGAGCCUGAAAACGGGGAAGAAAAAGAGAAAUCCACAUCUAGACUUUGCCUUCUGAGCUGGAAUUUGUUAUGAGAUGAAUGGAUAAGGUGGAGUCAUUCAUCAAUCCACCAACCUGCCAAUUCCCCUGCAGCUUUUCUAAUCUCAGUAUGGAAUGGACACUUUCUGUACAGAGUGCAAUUGUCGAAAAGCCAAAAGGCAAAAUUUCACAUCCAGGUACAAGGUUUAAAACACAGAGGACAUCUUUACACCAUCAUCACUUCUUUGUCGCUCUCAAAGCUUUUUGCGGUCUGGGCUUGCUGUUCUUAAUCACAGUAGCCAGGAAGCCCUUAUCCCAAAAAGAAUUUGCGAGGGAGGAAUAUCUUCAAAUACAGUGAAGCUGGAAGCUAAAGCAAUGUAGUUCUAUGAUAUCUAUAAUUACUCUGUCAAUAAAGGAUAAGUAUUUAGGCUCAGUGUGCACCAAUAAUAUAACAGCUUCAGAUUUGUUUUAGAUUUAGGGCCCUUUCCCUCGUACGGGUCCCGUGAGGAUCCGUACCUUUCUUAUCUGCUUGCUCAGAGGGAAUCGUUCUGUUGAUCCCCGCUGAGCCGGCAGAUGACAGGGUGGUCCCCGCACACUGUGCAGGGACCGCCCUGUCAGAUCGU
Long non-coding RNA from Rana temporaria (common frog), 1030 nucleotides. RefSeq lists it as uncharacterized. The transcript is spliced from 4 exons. NCBI's taxonomy places the organism in Eukaryota, Metazoa, Chordata, Amphibia, Anura, Ranidae. The record is from RefSeq and is a predicted model, not a curated record.